AAAAUGAAGAGGAUUCAGAAUAGUAAUGUAAACGCGUACUUUAAGAGAGCUGAUGGUGCUGAGAAUCAGUAGUAACCUUACAUGAAUGGGCUGAUGAUAAAAACGAAAUAAUCUUUGCAUUGAUUGUGUAAAUGUUUAUAUAGUGGUAAAGAGAUGAUAGACUAAGUCUAUUAAUUGAGGUGGUACCGCGUAUCGAUAACGCCCUCACG
Molecule: non-coding RNA, 209 nt
Filed under: Streptococcus sp.
Lineage: Bacteria; Bacillati; Bacillota; Bacilli; Lactobacillales; Streptococcaceae
Description: T-box sequence
Rfam family: T-box leader
About the family: Uncharged tRNA acts as the effector for transcription antitermination of genes in the T-box leader family. T-boxes are found upstream of many aminoacyl-tRNA synthetase genes and some amino acid biosynthetic genes usually in Gram-positive bacteria. The anticodon of a specific tRNA base pairs to a specifier sequence within the T-box motif, and the NCCA acceptor tail of the tRNA base pairs to a conserved bulge in the T-box antiterminator hairpin.
Source: RNAcentral